This 198-nucleotide ribosomal RNA is filed under the name Didymella heteroderae. RNAcentral's name for it is "partial large subunit ribosomal RNA". It matches the Rfam family "Eukaryotic large subunit ribosomal RNA", at positions 82 to 277 of the family's 3401-position model. Lineage: Eukaryota; Fungi; Ascomycota; Dothideomycetes; Pleosporales; Didymellaceae. The record is from RNAcentral.
AGUAACGGCGAGUGAAGCGGCAACAGCUCAAAUUUGAAAUCUGGCGUCUUCGGCGUCCGAGUUGUAAUUUGCAGAGGGCGCUUUGGCAUUGGCAGCGGUCCAAGUUCCUUGGAACAGGACGUCACAGAGGGUGAGAAUCCCGUACGUGGUCGCUAGCCUUUACCGUGUAAAGCCCCUUCGACGAGUCGAGUUGUUUGG